Molecule: non-coding RNA, 117 nt
Filed under: Chlorocebus sabaeus (green monkey)
Lineage: Eukaryota; Metazoa; Chordata; Mammalia; Primates; Cercopithecidae
Source: Rfam by way of RNAcentral
GCUGGGCGCGGUGGCUCACGCCUGUAAUCCCAGCACUUUGGGAGGCCGAGGCGGGUGGAUCACCUGAGGUCAGGAGUUCGAGACCAGCCUGACCAACAUGGAGAAACCCCGUCUCUC